UUUGGUUUGUUACGUGUGGUUGGCUGCGGCGUUUGCAACAACUUCCAUGCUUUCAGACCUCUUCAGUUGUGCGGCAAGGCUUGCAUUGCCUUGAGCGUAUUUUGGGUUUUCUGUAUUGGCUACCUAAUCAAUGGUAUCGUUUGGAUUGAUCAAAGUUUGAUUUCGUCUUCCGUCGCGUUUGCGGCGUGAGGUGAACCUUGAUGCGGUCUCUUUGAUCCAUCUCGUUGAAGCACAUACUUUGACGUUGUGGCACAUUGAGCAUUGCUUGGUCUCUUGUAUACGGAACACGUAGUGGGCAUGGAUCUAACGAUUCUUGUUUGCCCUCAUAUUAGCGUAACGCUUCUCUAACACGACUUGCACCACGUUUUAG
Molecule: unclassified non-coding RNA, 370 nt
Filed under: Artemisia biennis
Lineage: Eukaryota; Viridiplantae; Streptophyta; Magnoliopsida; Asterales; Asteraceae
Description: partial external transcribed spacer
Source: RNAcentral